AUUGAACGCUGGCGGCAUGCCUAACACAUGCAAGUCGAACGGCAGCGCGGGGGCAACCCUGGCGGCGAGUGGCGGACGGGUGAGGAAUGCAUAGGAAUCUGCCCGGUUGUGGGGGAUAACGUAGGGAAACUUACGCUAAUACCGCAUACGACCUUCGGGUGAAAGUGGGGGACCUUCGGGCCUCACGCGAUCGGAUGAGCCUAUGCCCGAUUAGCUAGUUGGCGGGGUAAGAGCCCUCCAAGGCGACGAUCGGUAGCUGGUCUGAGAGGAUGAUCAGCCACACGAGGACUGGGACGCGGCCCAGGCGACUGCGGGAGGCAGCAGAGGGGAAUAUGGGACAAUGGGGGGAAGCCUGAUCCAGCAAGGGCGCGUGUGUGAAGAAGGCCUUCGGGGUGUAAAGCACGUUUGUUCGGGAAGAAAUCCGUGUGGUUAAGACCCGGACGGGAUGACGGUACCGAAAGAAUAAGCACCGGCUAACUUCGUG
RNAcentral lists this ribosomal RNA (484 nucleotides) under uncultured bacterium. RNAcentral describes it as "partial 16S ribosomal RNA". It matches the Rfam family "Bacterial small subunit ribosomal RNA", at positions 29 to 507 of the family's 1533-position model. The record is from RNAcentral.